Non-coding RNA from Hypoxylon sp. FL1150, 84 nucleotides. Lineage: Eukaryota; Fungi; Ascomycota; Sordariomycetes; Xylariales; Hypoxylaceae. The record is from the annotation of a GenBank genome assembly.
GCCGCACUAGAGAAAUGGUUAACUCGUCGGCCUUCUACAUGAUUAGAAAGCCGAAGAUUCUGGGUUCGAGUCCCAGGUGCGGUG